RNAcentral lists this ribosomal RNA (698 nucleotides) under uncultured Bacteroidales bacterium. RNAcentral's name for it is "bacterial SSU rRNA". It matches the Rfam family "Bacterial small subunit ribosomal RNA", at positions 46 to 734 of the family's 1533-position model. Lineage: Bacteria; Pseudomonadati; Bacteroidota; Bacteroidia; Bacteroidales. The record is from RNAcentral.
GCCUAACACAUGCAAGUCGAGGGGCAUCGGGAUUGAAGCUUGCUUCAAUUGCCGGCGACCGGCGCACGGGUGCGUAACGCGUAUGUAACCUACCUAUAACAGGGGCAUAACACUGAGAAAUUGGUACUAAUUCCCCAUAAUAUUCGGAGAGGCAUCUCUCCGGGUUGAAAACUCCGGUGGUUAUAGAUGGACAUGCGUUGUAUUAGCUAGUUGGUGAGGUAACGGCUCACCAAGGCAACGAUACAUAGGGGGACUGAGAGGUUAACCCCCCACACUGGUACUGAGACACGGACCAGACUCCUACGGGAGGCAGCAGUGAGGAAUAUUGGUCAAUGGACGCAAGUCUGAACCAGCCAUGCCGCGUGCAGGAAGACGGCUCUAUGAGUUGUAAACUGCUUUUGUACGAGGGUAAACUCACCUACGUGUAGGUGACUGAAAGUAUCGUACGAAUAAGGAUCGGCUAACUCCGUGCCAGCAGCCGCGGUAAUACGGAGGAUUCAAGCGUUAUCCGGAUUUAUUGGGUUUAAAGGGUGCGUAGGCGGUUUGAUAAGUUAGAGGUGAAAUCCCGGGGCUUAACUCCGGAACUGCCUCUAAUACUGUUAGACUAGAGAGUAGUUGCGGUAGGCGGAAUGUAUGGUGUAGCGGUGAAAUGCUUAGAGAUCAUACAGAACACCGAUUGCGAAGGCAGCUUACCAAAC